UACGUAGGGUGCAAGCGUUGUCCGGAAUUAUUGGGCGUAAAGAGCUCGUAGGCGGUCUGUUGCGUCCGCUGUGAAAACUCGGGGCUUAACCCCGAGCCUGCAGUGGAUACGGGCAGACUAGAGGUAGGUAGGGGAGAAUGGAAUUCCCGGUGUAGCGGUGAAAUGCGCAGAUAUCGAGAGGAACACCGGUGGCGAAGGCGGUUCUCUGGGCCUUACCUGACGCUGAGGAGCGAAAGCGUGGGGAGCGAACAGG
Molecule: ribosomal RNA, 253 nt
Filed under: uncultured bacterium
Lineage: Bacteria
Description: partial 16S ribosomal RNA
Rfam family: Bacterial small subunit ribosomal RNA
Source: RNAcentral